This is a long non-coding RNA of Strongylocentrotus purpuratus (purple sea urchin), 1393 nucleotides long. RefSeq lists it as uncharacterized. NCBI's taxonomy places the organism in Eukaryota, Metazoa, Echinodermata, Echinoidea, Camarodonta, Strongylocentrotidae. The record is from RefSeq and is a predicted model, not a curated record. The transcript is spliced from 2 exons.
CACUAAUAGAAUAAAUAUCUCUUUUCUUAACAGAUACGAAUGAAGUUCAGGUUCGUCCACUGGGGUAUAUAAAGGAUCCGUCCACGAGAAGAAAAAGGUUUUGCGACAGAAAGAGAACUCUUUUAGAGAAGGCCAAAGAAAUACACAUCCUGUGUGGAUCUACGGUCAAGUUGGAUCUGAAGGCCGAGAGUGGACGGCAAUACACCUACCAUUCCGACCCAGUGGCACAAAGAAGUGUCAAACUUCAAGCAGGUACCUACCAACUAAUAACGAAAGCUUCACAAAGGCCGACUUCCCAUCCCCCAACCAAGCGACGGGUUGUUGCAGGUGACACGGCUGGCCCAUCACACAUUUCGUCUUCUACAUCUAAUGUGCAGGAGCUCCUAGGAAAAAAGAAGAAAACCAUUAGUAAUACAAAACAUGAAAGUAAAAAGGACAAACACAAAAAAGAGAAGAAAGGGUUGUGAUUUACAUCAGUAAUCAAUUCAAAGAACGGUUAAUAACUUUUAUUCUUUUUAAAUGCAAAUUGAAUUGUGUGAUGUAGUUUUUCUGUCCCACUCUUACUUUCUCAGGUUUAGUCAGGUUCCUGAAGACAAGUGUCCACCUAUCAUUGUUAGGCGCACCUCCCCUUAACUUCAGCCAUGACUUGCCAACUUGCCCUGCUUAUUAGCUUCUUCAAGACAACCAUCUCCUCCUUGAUGAUGGCCAGUCCGCCCUGUUCUGCAUACGGUGUAAGAACUUUCUAGGGUCUCCCGAACCAUGAGGACCUGCAUGAAAUAAUACAUAAUGGAGAGAAGAAGAUAGAAGAAAUUAUGAAAAAUUUGGCGAUUCCACCAGUUCAUGACAAGCUUAUACAAACAUGUGUUUGAAUCUUAAGUAUAUCAAUUAUUAUCGACGUUGAUUCAUAUUUUCAGAUAUGUGGAACAAAAUUUGUCAUAAUUAAAUGCUCUAACAUGGUCCUUGUUUAGAGUAUGUAAUUGCAUUUAUCAUUUUACAUCAUUCAUACACGUACAUAUUUCAUCUUUCAUAAUUAUAUAAGAAUGCUUCAUCAUGCCAAACCUGGUCAUGCAUGUCGCGAUACAGGAUAUCCUGGUAUUUUGGAUGAUUCCCAGCAUACAUUACAUGGAGCAGUUUUGUCUUUGCUGUUGAGAUUGCUUCCACAUUGUUCCUCCGAGCUCCAGUGCGUAGCAUCAUGAGGGCAUGAAGGUAGGUGAUUAACAUCUGUUGCAUAUAGGUCAGUAGGUGUAUGUAAUUCGUAUCACUGUCGCUCCACUUCCAAUACCCCUCCAUUCAGCUUCAGAUUAAUUUGAUUGGUCCAUUUGGAAAUUCAGUUGGCAUUACAUAAAGCACAUGAACAAUAUACAAUAGAAAUAAUAUACCGGUACACAAACAG